CCUACGGGGGGCAGCAGUGGGGAAUAUUGCGCAAUGGGCGAAAGCCUGACGCAGCGAAGCCGCGUGAGGGAUGAAGGUCUUCGGAUCGUAAACCUCUGUCAGCGGGGAAGAACGGUCACUGUGCUAAUCAGCCGUGAAUUGACGGUACCUGCAAAGGAAGCACCGGCUAACUCCGUGCCAGCAGCCGCGGUAAGACGGAGGGUGCGGGCGUUAAUCGGACUUGCUGGGCGUAAAGCGCUCGUAGUCGGUAUGUCAAGUCAAGGGUGAAAUACCCGCGCUCAACGUGGGGACUGCAUUGGAAACUGGCAACCUUGAGUGCGUGAGAGGAUAGUGGAAUUCCAGGUGUAGGAGUGAAAUGCGUAGAUAUCUGGAGGAACAUCAGUGGCGAAGGCGACUAUCUGGCACAUAACUGACGCUGAGGAGCGAAAGCGUGGGUAGCAAACAGGAUUAGAUACCCCAGUAGUC
RNAcentral lists this ribosomal RNA (465 nucleotides) under uncultured bacterium. RNAcentral describes it as "partial 16S ribosomal RNA". It matches the Rfam family "Bacterial small subunit ribosomal RNA", at positions 338 to 795 of the family's 1533-position model. The record is from RNAcentral.